UACGUAGGGGGCUAGCGUUGUCCGGAAUCAUUGGGCGUAAAGGGCGCGUAGGCGGGUUUUUACGUCGGGGGUGAAAUCCUGGAGCUCAACUCCAGAACUGCCUUUGAUACUGAAGAUCUUGAGUUCGGGAGAGGUGAGUGGAACUGCGAGUGUAGAGGUGAAAUUCGUAGAUAUUCGCAAGAACACCAGUGGCGAAGGCGGCUCACUGGCCCGAUACUGACGCUGAGGCACGAAAGCGUGGGGAGCAAACAGG
This 253-nucleotide ribosomal RNA is filed under the name uncultured bacterium. Its description in RNAcentral is "partial 16S ribosomal RNA". It matches the Rfam family "Bacterial small subunit ribosomal RNA", at positions 524 to 776 of the family's 1533-position model. The record is from RNAcentral.